GAUGAACGCUGACAGAAUGCUUAACACAUGCAAGUCAUUGGCGAAGCUGCGCUUGCGCAGUCUAGCCAAGGCGGACGGGUGAGUAACGCGUAAGGAACUUGCCCUGCAGACAGGGAUAACAGACGGAAACGACUGAUAACACCUGGUAUUGUCAGGCUGGCGCAUGCCGGCCUGAUGAAAGGAGACGCUGCAGGAGAGCCUUGCGUCCUAUUAGCGAGUUGGUGGGGUAACGGCCCACCAAGGCGAUGAUAGGUAGCCGGCCUGAGAGGAGGAACGGCCACAAGGGGACUGAGAUACGGCCCUUACUCCUACGGGAGGCAGCAGUGGUGAAUAUUGGACAAUGGUGGCAACCCUGAUCCAGCAAUUCUGUGUGCACGAAGAAGGUUUUCGGAUUGUAAAGUGCUUUCAGCAGGGAAGAAGAAAGUGACGGUACCUGCAGAAGAAGCGACGGCUAAAUACGUG
This 462-nucleotide ribosomal RNA is filed under the name uncultured bacterium. RNAcentral describes it as "partial 16S ribosomal RNA". It matches the Rfam family "Bacterial small subunit ribosomal RNA", at positions 28 to 507 of the family's 1533-position model. The record is from RNAcentral.